Non-coding RNA from Podarcis lilfordi (Lilford's wall lizard), 74 nucleotides. The record is from the annotation of a GenBank genome assembly. Lineage: Eukaryota; Metazoa; Chordata; Lepidosauria; Squamata; Lacertidae.
GGCUGAGAUAGCUCAGUCAGUAGAGCAUGAGACUCUUAACCUCAGGGUCAUGGGUUCGAGCCCCACAUUAGGCA